This 345-nucleotide ribosomal RNA is filed under the name uncultured Paracoccaceae bacterium. Its description in RNAcentral is "bacterial SSU rRNA". It matches the Rfam family "Bacterial small subunit ribosomal RNA", at positions 505 to 853 of the family's 1533-position model. The record is from RNAcentral. Lineage: Bacteria; Pseudomonadati; Pseudomonadota; Alphaproteobacteria; Rhodobacterales; Paracoccaceae.
GUGCCAGCAGCCGCGGUAAUACGGAGGGGCUAGCGUUGUUCGGAAUUACUGGGCGUAAAGCGCGCGUAGGCGGAUUAGUCAGUCAGGGGUGAAAUCCCGGGGCUCAACCCCGGAACUGCCUUUGAUACUGCUAGUCUAGAGUUCGAGAGAGGUGAGUGGAAUUCCGAGUGUAGAGGUGAAAUUCGUAGAUAUUCGGAGGAACACCAGUGGCGAAGGCGGCUCACUGGCUCGAUACUGACGCUGAGGUGCGAAAGCGUGGGAGCAAACAGGAUUAGAUACCCUGGUAGUCCACGCCGUAACGAUGAAUGCCAGACGUCGGGCAGCAUGCUGUUCGGUGUCACACCU